CACGUGUGUGUGUUGUGCUUCUUGUUUUAUGCUAAUUACCACAUGGAGGGAAGUAAUUUUAGUUCCUUGAUGUUUGUACUCCCGAAUUUUUAGUGAAACAUUCGCGCCCAGCUGUGGUGGAAUCCGUUAAAUAAGUUCAAUUUCGGAAGAUUUACAGGCAACAAUGCCGAAUGAUACUCCGAUCAAAUUGGGACAAUCAAAAAACGUAUAUCUGUUCUCAUAUAGUCUUCGAUAGCUUAUAAAUAGCUUCAGUGAGUGAUUUAACGUGUGAUACAGUUAGAAUUUAGGGCUCAAACCCCUGCAGUGAAGCAGCAGUUACGAAUGAUACCCCUCAGGUUUUAAGCUCCGAUCAAGUUUCAACAACCGAACGUCGUUUUCCUGUUCUCGUGCAGCUUUCGAUAGCUUAUAAAAGCCUCAGUGAGUGAUUUAACGUGUGAUACAGUUAGAAUUUAGCGCUCAAAACCCUGCAGUCAAGCAGCAGUUACGAAUGAUACCCCUCAGGUUUUAAGCUCCGAUCAAGUUUCAACAACCGAACGACGUUUUCCUGUUCUCGUGCAGCUUUCGAUAGCUUAUAAAAGCCUCAGUGAGUGAUUUAACGUGUGAUACAGUUAGAAUUUAGCGCUCAAAACCCUGCAGUCAAGCAGCAGUUACGAAUGAUACCCCUCAGGUUUUAAGCUCCGAUCAAGUUUCAACAACCGAACGACGUUUUCCUGUUCUCGUGCAGCUUUCGAUAGCUUAUAAAAGCCUCAGUGAGUGAUUUAACGUGUGAUACAGUUAGAAUUUAGCGCUCAAAACCCUGCAGUCAAGCAGCAGUUACGAAUGAUACCCCUCAGGUUUUAAGCUCCGAUCAAGUUGCAACAACCGAACGUCGUUUUCCUGUUCUCGUGCAGCUUUCGAUAGCUUAUAAAAGCCUCAGUGAGUGAUUUAACGUGUGAUACAGUUAGAAUUUAGCGCUCAAAACCCUGCAGUGAAGCAGCAGUUACGAAUGAUACCCCUCAGGUUUUAAGCUCCGAUCAAGUUUCAACAACCGAACGACGUUUUCCUGUUCUCGUGCAGCUUUCGAUAGCUUAUAAAAGCCUCAGUGAGUGAUUUAACGUGUGAUACAGUUAGAAUUUAGCGCUCAAAACCCUGCAGUCAAGCAGCAGUUACGAAUGAUACCCCUCAGGUUUUAAGCUCCGAUCAAGUUUCAACAACCGAACGACGUUUUCCUGUUCUCGUGCAGCUUUCGAUAGCUUAUAAAAGCCUCAGUGAGUGAUUUAACGUGUGAUACAGUUAGAAUUUAGCGCUCAAAACCCUGCAGUGAAGCAGCAGUUACGAAUGAUACCCUUCAGGUUUUAAGCUCCGAUCAAGUUGCAACAACCGAACGUCGUUUUCCUGUUCUCGUGCAGCUUUCGAUAGCUUAUAAAAGCCUCAGUGAGUGAUUUAACGUGUGAUACAGUUAGAAUUUAGCGCUCAAAACCCUGCAGUCAAGCAGCAGUUACGAAUGAUACCCCUCAGGUUUUAAGCUCCGAUCAAGUUUCAACAACCGAACAACGUUUUCCUGUUCUCGUGCAGCUUUCGAUAGCUUAUAAAAGCCUCAGUGAGUGAUUUAACGUGUGAUACAGUUAGAAUUUAGCGCUCAAAACCCUGCAGUCAAGCAGCAGUUACGAAUGAUACCCCUCAGGUUUUAAGCUCCGAUCAAGUUGCAACAACCGAACGUCGUUUUCCUGUUCUCGUGCAGCUUUCGAUAGCUUAUAAAAGCCUCAGUGAGUGAUUUAACGUGUGAUACAGUUAGAAUUUAGCGCUCAAAACCCUGCAGUCAAGCAGCAGUUACGAAUGCUACCCCUCAGGUUUUAAGCUCCGACCAAGUUUCAACAACCGAACGACGUUUUCCUGUUCUCGUGCAGCUUUCGAUAGCUUAUAAAAGCCUCAGUGAGUGAUUUAACGUGUGAUACAGUUAGAAUUUAGCGCUCAAAACCCUGCAGUGAAGCAGCAGUUACGAAUGAUACCCCUCAGGUUUUAAGAGGGCAUACCAGCUCUCCGUCCCAAUGUAUUUCCUAUGGAACAGUUUUUAUGCUUUCUCUCGGUAACCGCCGCGCAGAUUUUGACGCGGGUGCUUUCAUCAUAAAGAGGAAGACGAGAUGAAGAGAAAUGCGCUACAGGAUUUCUCAUAUAUGUCGUAUGUAUUUUACGGCGACGUCACGAAUGCGAAAAAAAUACACAAUUUUUCUCCUCCCUCUUUGAAAAGGUUUUAUUAAACUUCUAUAGCCAUUUCGAAAAAAACUUUUCCAUUACUCUCUCUGGAAUUAUUUCAGGAAUCGAUAGACAUCAAAUUUAUAUGUCUACCACUUAUAGUUUUUAUAAAAAAGCAUGAAACGUGAGUACGCAAAAUCGCCCACUCAAAGCCCCGUGAACGGCGUCAUUCUGUGUUGCCAUCUGGUGACGCGACAGCAAAACCGCGCGGAACGUAUCCUUCCGCCGAGCAAGCAUGCGCGUGCGCACCUGACCGUCCUGUUGGCUCCUCUGUCCUCUUUACUUUCCCGGACCGCUGACUUAGGGCAUGACCUUGGAGACCAGAACAAAAGCUUACUUAGCUGCUCGUAAAGGGAUUAUUGCCUGAGCCUGAGGCAUUGUCGCCAACAACCAGAGACCAACAACUGUCUUCUUUUUUCGGUGCGCGUAUAGAGAAUUGAGAUGAGUUUAUUAGCUUCACAUGAAACAUCAAUUUGCCCGAUUUUGACGUUUCGGGUUUGUGCUUACUCAGUCAACUGUCUCAUAAGGCUAACGAGAAUCUGUCGUAUUUACGAUUAGUGGAAGGCCGACUUUACAAACAUUCCAUUGACGUUCAACAGGACUGCCCUGUAAUGUUCGUAAUGUUGAAACAGCGAUCAAGCGGAUUACACACAGAUAAAUGUUCCUCAGGAUAACUGCAUUUAGAACUGCAGCUCUCUUUGUUCUUCUCCUUCUUUUAUUGAUCGAUUUAUUUUUAUGUUUAUCUUAUUUCUUUUUUUUUUUGUCAACGCUCCACGUGAACCAAUAAGAAAAAUCGAUCAAGCGACUGCUGCACAAUUAUUUCCGCCCACGCAAUGGGCAACCGUCUUUUCCGGAACCCAAAUUCACGUUCGCGAAAAAAGGAAAACCAAUGACAAUUCUCGAUUGCUUCGAACGGUGAUAUGCCAUGUUUAAAAGUCAGACACGAACAGGUGUUUUUGAGACUUCGUGUUUGUGUCUGUCCCUUCGUGUUCCCUAGCCUCGGGGUUUUACAUCAUGCAUCAAAUUUCGCUAUCUGUCCAAGUCAUUUUAGCGAACGAGAUCCACAUUUUUGGCUCUUAGGCUUAGCGGGGCGGACGCGACGGAACAGCACGUUAGGUAGUUAAUUAAUUAUUAGGUUAGUAAAAGUUCGGUGUUUGCAUUUUCAUGUUCAUGUUGUUUAUUUUUCAACGGCGACUUCGAUCACGUUAUUUUGAGAUAUACGGCCAAUUUUUCGAUACCGGUUCCCUGGAUUUUCCAUCUUUCGACACUUCUUGCUGGUUGCGCGUUGGAUGACCCAAAACCUGUACCCGUCGUUCUUUGCACCGCAAACAAAGGGAAGCCUUCUGAGGAAGAUAAGGAACUCCGGGUCACUGGGGAUUCUCAACUGAACUAGUGACGAAACUAGUAACGAAAGGUCUGGUGUAAUGUGAAGUACCCUGUGAAAACCAAGGAGUGUCUAACAAUAUAGUACUGAAGUUUCCGGGUAAUAAUCAGUUCAUUAUGAGACGUAAUUUGUGCUCCGAGACCUCCUCGCGUACAUAAAGACGGAGUUCAAAGAGUUUUAGGAGCUUCCCUUCUCCUUUUCUUAUUUCUUUUUUUUCUAAAUAGCUGUUGCUAAAUGCAAUGCAUUUAUUUAGGCUGACUAAGUGUAAGUAUUGAGCCUAUCAAAAGGCCGAAAAUCAUAACGUCGAACUAUCAGAAGGCCGGAAGCCAAAAGACCAAAAAAUCAUAACGUCGAACUGUCAGAAGGCCGAAAAUAAGAAGGCUGAAAAUGGAAUGAAGCACAUCACAGCCGACCGAGUGUUAUCGUUCGCUUUGCGGAUUUGUUGAAAUUGGGAGACAUAGGGUUCUUUUUUCUUUUUUUCACGUGUUAAUGAAUAAUUAGAUCUACAUUCCAUUCAACGAACAACAUAAAAUGGAUAUAUAGUUCGCUGCAUUAGUUCGCUAGCGAUAUCGUUCGCUGGAUGCUAGUAUUUCUCUACUGUCGAUCAGACACAGGUUAUACAGUUGUCCUUACAUCUUUUUCUGUGCCUAUGUUUGUGGGUUAUAAAAGCUCUACGCCCACUUAUUCAGUUGUUUCACUGCCCUUACAACUCCGCUUCUGCUGAAAGUACGGUACAUCAGCAUAGAAAGUAUUAGAGAACAACUACAACAUCAUUGUCUGACCACCACCAACAACAAAAAAGAACUAUAUAUGAAAAUACUAGUAUUCCGGUCCGGUUGAGUUGGGAACUAAGUCUGACGAUACCCACGUUCAGCGAGCGUGAAGUCAGAGCCUCAGGAUAGUGGGCAUAUGCGUUUCAUUUCAUUGGUACGAAUACAGAAGGUCAUUGCGCUCAGUAUUCUGUAGCACUCCCCUUUAUAAAAGAACACGGCUACCAUUUUUCCAACAUAUCUGCCAGAAAUACGUAGAAGGUAGCAGAACCUUGGAAAAUCACCAGUGAUGAAUCACAUCGUGGCAUAGUCAAGAUUUAUUUGUUGACGGAGAAUCGCUUUCUAAUCUUACCGCGUUGUCUGUACUCAGCAAACUUUGCGAGAGAGGAACAGUAAUUUAAACAAGUACCACCCAAUUUAAACAAGUAAUGUGAUAGCGCUUGAUCGGCUAUGAUCCGUUUCCUCAGCUGUUCACAACGGCGCUCCUGUAAUUUCCGGGAUACGGAGAAAUCAUCCCAGAAGAAAUCGUCCCCGGUGGGAACUUUCAUUCAAUAUUAUUACUUCUACGGCUAUAUGUAGACCAUAUUGCCCAGUUGCAUCGAAUAGUAUUUUGUCGACGGAUAUAUGUAAACAAUAUUAUCAAUUUUUGAGCCAAUAUUCCUUGGUUGACGGCUAUAUGUAGACCAUAUUGCGCACUUUCAUCCAAUAUUAUUUGUUCUACGGCUAUACGAGUAUGUAGGUAAUAUUGCCCAGUUGCAUCGAGUAUUACGUAUUUGGUCGACGGCAAUAUGUAGACCAUAUUACCAGUUUUCAGCAAAUAUUCGUUGGUCGGUGGCUAUAUGUAGACCAUAUUCCCCGUUUUCAUCCAAUAUUGUUCGGUCGCUGGCAAUAUGUAGACCAUAUUUCCAACUUUCAUGGAAUAUUGUUUGACCGACGGCUAUAUGUAAACAAUAUUGCCAGUUUGCGGCCAAUAUUCCUUGGCUGACGGCUAUAUGUAGAUUAUAUUGCUCAUUUUCAUCCAAUAUUGUUCGUUCACCGUCCGUUGACAGUCCACCGUCCACAGUCCAUCGAAUCGUCCUCAUCACAUUAUAACCGAAAUUAUAUUCCGAAAUCCUAAGCUGUUAUUUGAAGAAAAGUAAUUGAUAACAGUACAAACAUGAGUAAGAAACAUCAUAAACAGCAUAACAGCAUUUGAUCGAACGCCAUUUGGUCGAACGCCGCUUGGUCGAAAGCCGUUUGAUCGCAAGCCGGUUGAUCGACGCCGUUUGUUCGAAAGAUGUUUCUUCGAAGGGAGUUCGAAGCUCGCAGCGUGUCCUUAGCACCUCUUUUUCUGUAACUUUUGACUCGAACAUAUGGAGCAGGCAAUCAGUGUCCUCUCCUUUUUUGUUUGUUUGUUUCUUGCUUCUUUUUUUUUCAGCUAAAGACCCCACUGGUUAUUUGCAGACCUUUGUCAUUCACGAACAGCACAGCCUUCUGGCUUUUUACUCUCUCCCAUCUGAAAAUAAAAUAAAAUUGAAUAGAACAAUGUGGAAGUAUCCCGCGAAAUUGUAACGGGACCCAUUACUUCAAUCCCCCGGCGAUGAACUCCCUACCCAUCAUCCUGAAAUAAAGUUGUUGUUGUAUCCCGCGAACCAGUGGGACACAUACCGAAGAAAAUGUCUUCACGAUCGUACGAUCGUAUGGUUUCUUUUUUUUUCCUUCUUUUUUUUGGGGGGGUAGCAGAAUUCGCUUGCACGAAUUCAACCUCCCCUUGUUAUUUAUUUAUGUAACCAACCAACAACAACAAAAUGUCUUCAAGUUGGGAGCAGCCAAUAGUCUGUGCUUCUUCUGGGCAUGGCACGAAAAACUGUCCGAAAACUGUCCGAACCGAAAUCGGGACCGAACUUUUUCUGUGCAUCACCGCGUGCUACCAAAAUGCACCCCAAAUUUCGGCCGAAGACUUCUGGCCUUGGGGAACAUCGCCUUUCAACAAUCCAGCUCAAUGAGAUAAUCCCUGUAUUCAUAGAAGUAGAAAUCGCACACACGGCAACAGUCGACCCGACUGCUACGUCAUCGUUGCUAUGGUUCUCCUUCCGGCUGAAUAGCCAUUGGAUGCUUCUCCUUUUUCGGUUGGCGUCACUUCCCAUUUCGGAGGAGAAAUCUGGCUUGGUCAGAUCGGGCCGGGAAGGGGGAGAGGGAACAUGGGGGAAAGGAUUACUGUAGUUUUCUGGUAAAGAAGUCUAUUCUGCGAUGAAAAUUUUGAAAAGUAUUUUGCACCAACGCCCUGUAAAUGAAGUCAAAUAUUUGAUAAUGCUUACUUACCAGAAAUAUACAUACCAAAAUGUCAUUUUUGCAUGAAUAAUAGAGUUAUUAUCAAGGUAAAUUGCGUGUAAGCGUGUGCAGAAAAAAAAAGAAAAAGGGAAUACUGUUUUGGAGCACUAGAUUUUCCUGACUGGCAUUGUAAGCGCUGUGUGUUUAUAGCCUAAUUUACAGCCGCCGGUACAUCCAGUUGAGAGCCUCCGUGAUACCGACAUCUCGGGCGAGCUUUGAUAGCAUAUGAGGUUACCUUUCCUUGGCCAUUUCCUGAUUUCUUAAUUGGCAAUCGCCUUGUGCUCAGACUCACUGCUGGCAACAUUCAUUUAUAAUACCAUCUGUGUGUGUGCCCAUAUUGCCAUCCAUACUAUCCGAUCACACCUAUACGUCGGCAUACACUAAGUAUGCACUAGUAAAACAAUACGAAGAGCAACUAAAAAUUACAUAAUAUCAGUCAGUACAGACAACAAACACAACAACAAACAACAAGAAAAUAAAAAUAAAGUACUCAUAUAGCAAUAGGAGACAAGCAAAAAGACGUGAAUGUCUCGAAUCGGACUGCAGACCUUUCGUGUCAAAGUCCGACACUUUACCUCUCGACAAACAGCGCAGAGGGUGCGGGCCGCCUUAAACUUGCGAGGUCAACCAUGCACAAUGGGGAUUAUUUCGUGAGUCGGAGGCGAACGGCGUGAUAAGGAUCGGCGAGCUUGGCGCCAUCUAGAAUCGGGAAAAUCGUGAAUCGGAGUUGCUCCCCGACUGGUAUGGCCUCUUAAGCUCCGAUCAAGUUGCAACAACCGAACGUCGUUUUCCUGUUCUCGUGCAGCUUUCGAUAGCUUAUAAAAGCCUCAGUGAGUGAUUUAACGUGUGAUACAGUUAGAAUUUAGCGCUCAAAACCCUGCAGUCAAGCAGCAGUUACGAAUGAUACCCCUCAGGUUUUAAGCUCCGAUCAAGUUUCAACAACCGAACGACGUUUUCCUGUUCUCGUGCAGCUUUCGAUAGCUUAUAAAAGCCUCAGUGAGUGAUUUAACGUGUGAUACAGUUAGAAUUUAGCGCUCAAAACCCUGCAGUCAAGCAGCAGUUACGAAUGAUACCCCUCAGGUUUUAAGCUCCGAUCAAGUUGCAACAACCGAACGUCGUUUUCCUGUUCUCGUGCAGCUUUCGAUAGCUUAUAAAAGCCUCAGUGAGUGAUUUAACGUGUGAUACAGUUAGAACUUAGCGCUCAAAACCCUGCAGUCAAGCAGCAGUUACGAAUGAUACCCCUCAGGUUUUAAGCUCCGAUCAAGUUUCAACAACCGAACGUCGUUUUCCUGUUCUCGUGCAGCUUUCGAUAGCUUAUAAAAGCCUCAGUGAGUGAUUUAACGUGUGAUACAGUUAGAAUUUAGCGCUCAAAACCCUGCAGUCAAGCAGCAGUUACGAAUGAUACCCCUCAGGUUUUAAGCUCCGAUCAAGUUUCAACAACCGAACGACGUUUUCCUGUUCUCGUGCAGCUUUCGAUAGCUUGUAAAAGCCUCAGUGAGUGAUUUAACGUGUGAUACAGUUAGAAUUUAGCGCUCAAAACCCUGCAGUCAAGCAGCAGUUACGAAUGAUACCCCUCAGGUUUUAAGCUCCGAUCAAGUUUCAACAACUGAACGACGUUUUCCUGUUCUCGUGCAGCUUUCGAUAGCUUGUAAAAGCCUCAGUGAGUGAUUUAACGUGUGAUACAGUUAGAAUUUAGCGCUCAAAACCCUGCAGUCAAGCAGCAGUUACGAAUGAUACCCCUCAGGUUUUAAGCUCCGAUCAAGUUUCAACAACCGAACGACGUUUUCCUGUUCUCGUGCAGCUUUCGAUAGCUUAUAAAAGCCUCAGUGAGUGAUUUAACGUGUGAUACAGUUAGAAUUUAGCGCUCAAAACCCUGCAGUCAAGCAGCAGUUACGAAUGAUACCCCUCAGGUUUUAAGCUCCGAUCAAGUUGCAACAACCGAACGUCGUUUUCCUGUUCUCGUGCAGCUUUCGAUAGCUUAUAAAAGCCUCAGUGAGUGAUUUAACGUGUGAUACAGUUAGAACUUAGCGCUCAAAACCCUGCAGUCAAGCAGCAGUUACGAAUGAUACCCCUCAGGUUUUAAGCUCCGAUCAAGUUUCAACAACCGAACGUCGUUUUCCUGUUCUCGUGCAGCUUUCGAUAGCUUAUAAAAGCCUCAGUGAGUGAUUUAACGUGUGAUACAGUUAGAAUUUAGCGCUCAAAACCCUGCAGUCAAGCAGCAGUUACGAAUGAUACCCCUCAGGUUUUAAGCUCCGAUCAAGUUUCAACAACCGAACGACGUUUUCCUGUUCUCGUGCAGCUUUCGAUAGCUUGUAAAAGCCUCAGUGAGUGAUUUAACGUGUGAUACAGUUAGAAUUUAGCGCUCAAAACCCUGCAGUCAAGCAGCAGUUACGAAUGAUACCCCUCAGGUUUUAAGCUCCGAUCAAGUUGCAACAACCAAACGACGUUUUCCUGUUCUCGUGCAGCUUUCGAUAGCUUAUAAAAGCCUCAGUGAGUGAUUUAACGUGUGAUACACUUAGAAUUUAGCGCCCAAACCCUGCAGUGAAGCAGCACUUACGAAUGAUACCCCUCAUGGUACAGUAUGAACAACAGAACACAGCUUUCCUGUCCUCAUAUAGCCUUCGAUAGCUUAUAAAAGCCACAGUGAGUGAUGGUAACAUCUGAUACAGUCAGAAUGUAAGGCUGAAAAAUCCGCAAUCAAGCAGCGGUGUCGAGUGAUACCGCUCAGGUUUUAAGCUCCGACCUGAUUUGAACAACCAAACACCGUUUUCCUGUCCUCGUAUGGCCUUUGGUAGCUUAGAAAUGCCACAGUGAGUGAUGCGAUGGUUUUCUUUUCAAAAAUUGUAGAGGAUUUUAUAAAUGACACUGCUGAAAUUUAAGGCUUGCAAAUGAUGAUUACGGAGAGUAAAAUGCUAUCCAGCAUGUUAAAAGCUACAAAUUUGAAGCUUUUUGUUGCCUAAAUACAUUUCACCCUGUUGUUUCCAGGUGGAACCCCUGUAGCUGACCAGAAAGGCCAGGACUGUCAGAUGCCAUACAUGAAUUGGUUCAAGGUCUUCAAACAGAGCUGACGCAGCAGAAGGCCUCUGGUGGCAUACUGUAAUCAAGUGCGCCACUCCCAUGGGAUUAUUGCAUUGGCCUUUUGCAUUCAUGCCUGAAUGCUGUCCAGGGCAUCUCACAGGCACCAGUUGCGUGACGAUGCCCCACCCCACGGAUUGUCUUAUGCCAGCAGCGUGCUCCCGUAGGGAACUAUGGACACUAGAAGAUGGACUGUGGACAUGCUAAGGAAUUCUUCAGUAGCUUAAUGGUGCACGGGAGAAGAAACAGCAGACCUGGACGAAGUAAACAAACGGCCCUUGUCAGGGCCACCAUAUGUCUGCCACAAUGGCUAGCGUUCUGCUGAUAGAACAAACCCUGAUGGUGAUAGAAGAUCACUGAACUAAUCAUAACUCAAGCACGAUGGCUACAACAGUGCUGAUAGAAAGCAAUCAUUGCAGUUGCAAAUGCCAUACAUUUCGUUAAGCACUAUAUUUUUGCUGACAGUAAUAUUUAGAGUUGAAGGAGUCAUGUUCUGCCACUUUUUGGAUGGUCAAAGUAUGCAUCACAGAACAUGUUGCUAAGGUGAACAUUAUGUGGAACCGACUAUAACUCCUGUUAUUCAUUCGCACAGAAAAUAUGAAGCAGAAAAUGUCGAGGCUGUUGCGAGAGACCUGUACUAUGUCUGUUCUAUGUCUUUUGCAAAAGCUAUCACUGUUUCUCGACAAAAGUGGCGUGGAGAAUGUACUGGAUGCCUCCAUUUCUCCCCUUUCUCUCCGUACUAUAAAGGUAGUUCUUUUUGUGUAGUCCAAUAAUACGAGAAUUUGAAAAAAGGUCUUUGGGUGUACUUGACAUAAGUGUAUGCCAGUCUAUAUCAUUGAACCCCCGUGGCACUGAGGACAAAACUUUACGAGACAGUAUGUUUGGGUCCGAAGAACGCCAUUGGAGCCACAGGGCACAUUGACUUUAGACCACAUCAUGGAGGGCCACAAGGAAAAGAAACGACUGUAGUUACCAUAAAACUUUGGUAUAUCAUACGUAACAUUGUACACACAAACAGGACUGACAUAGUUAUUGUGGAGUCGGAUAGUGGAUAACACAAAAAAUUAACGGGCUUACUAGGCUAACGCCAAUAAAUGGGUGGCCUUUCAAAUAGAGUGCUGAAAUUAUGAAAAACUAUUUGACCUUCACAAAGGUUUAGGAGAAUGUUCAGGAGCACUCCAAAUUAUCUAUUUACUUACUGUAUUGCUGCCUUAGCUCACAGUUGGAAAAAUAAGUAUGGAAAAUCAAAGAGAAAGAGCUAGCUGGCAUAUUCACGGUGGGUUAUGGCUUCAGGUUUGCUAUGUUGUGUUUAAUGAGAAGUGCAGAAAUUUGGGCCAGUUUGUACAUAACUGCAUAAGGGAAUAUGAGCAUACAGACGGGACAAUAGAGAGACAGAGCUGCUUACAACUAAACUAUAAUGAUAGGAAACCCGACGCAGUCAUGUGCGCAGGUGCAUUGGUAUCCCACCAUGUCAAAACAACGAAUACAGUGCUAGACAAAUGUUAGAGAACACGUUCCGGCGCAUUCCUUCCUUAGAGUGACAGUGAAUGGGACCGUACAGACUUAGACAUGUGCGUAUAGGUAGCCAAGUCACCUGUAUGCAAGUCCGUACGAUACCAUUCGUUGCCAGUUUGUCACUCGGAGGGAGGAGUGCGCCAGAGUAUGUUCCAUAAACUUUUGUCCAGCACUUUACAAGUAUAACACUGACUAACAAUGUAGAGUGGGCUAGUUGGUAUGACAUCUUAGACUAUGGAGCUACGGCAGACAACGACAACACACCACUCCACAAUCAACUGGUUUAUUUCUGGAAAAACAGAAAAGGAACUUUACACCUAGUGGUGAUCUUUUCCUGCUGUCCUUGUCUGCCAUAGCUCUGUAGUGAAGAAGUCUGUACAAGUAUGUCAGACAAGACCCUAAAAAUGACAUUUUUAGGCAUGUGCAAACAAAACCACAAUAGUGAUAAGGGGUGAGAAGUGAAAAAAAUUCCUAUGAUAUGAAUAAAAAUUCAAGUUCCUUAUCCAUCAGAAAAAUACAAUCUUCAGUAGCACAACUGGAAGAACCACUUAUUUAAGCCACUUCGACUACCUCUCUUUCGAACUGACAGUUUGCUUUUCUUUUUGGCCGAGUUCUCUCAAAAGCCGGCUUUUAAUGUCACUAUUUGAUUUAGUAUAAGAAUUAGGAUGGACAGAAGAUCGACUCAAUCCUCGCAUUAGCUACGGUGUGCUAGUGUACCAUCCGCACGCGAAUACCAGGUUGCCGUCUCCCUAAUUUUGUGAGGUUCGAGAGCCUGCUCGAACUGCUCGAGAACUGCUCGCAUGCAGUGUAUUCUACCUAACAUGGACAGCGCAGCAGCAGUACGGCGGGCCAGGCUGAAAACAAUGUCUGAAAAUCUGUUCUCCUAACUCGUCUUUAAAUUUUUAGAGAGGGUAGCUUCCUUCUCUUUGGCGGCCAAGAGGCCGCGUGUUUGAGAUCCCUAGCUGUAGAUAGGGCAAUCGCUUUCAAAACUAAACAACAAGGAUCAGAAAAGUAAAGCUGUCCUAUAUCUGCGCAGAAGCACCAUAGCUCAUGUACAAAGCAGGUUGGUUGGGUGGUGGUUGGUAAAACAACAAGAGGAUGCGCGAAUUCUGCCAUGGAUGCCUACCAUGGUAAUGAGGUACCCCAUGCAUCUUCUGCACCCCUCUACGCGAUAUUCUAUUCUAUAACACCAGUGUGCCUUACAACUGUAUCUGGCAGGUGUGUAUAUUGCAAAAAUACAAUCCAAAGGUUGAAAGUGCUGCUGCUGGUCGUGUGUGGCCUGUCUUACCAUCGUUUUGCCGCUAUUGGAAUAGAUAUGUAUACGUACCAACCUGCUCGACAGCUGUUAUUGUCAAAGGUUAUACACAUUACAAACGAGUAGGAAAUGGAAAUUCCUACUCGUUUAAGUAAUGCUGUCCGUGUCACUAUGGCUCAAUGUAUGAAGCCGGUUUUCACCUUGUCUGAAAAUAAUUUUGCAAGCUGAAGAAAAAAUGUAGAAAUGGACUUGUAUACAUCGAAUUGAACUACAUAGACUAGCAUCGUUGCUUUGUUGUUUCGAGCAGCAGCUGCGGUUUGGAGUUUCCUCUCAACGCUGGGCCAAUAUUGCCCCGCAUUUAUAUGCCGGGGUUUGGGGGUUAAACGCCCCCCCCCCCCCCAAAAAAAAGUAAGUUUGGUUAGUGCAUUUGGAAGGGGGAGAUGAUAAUGAAAUCCUCCUCACCCAUGUAAAGUCCCCAUAGAACUCCUCUAUAAAUAUUUUUGGGCUAGGCCACUGCUUUGAGCCCAACGCAGUUUACGAACUGCCUUCGCAGGUGACAAUAUGAUGACGUCGGCCCAAGUUGCAGCGACUUGUGCCAACCAAAUACCGAUCUCCGGCAGAUUUUAGGCAAUUUUCACUUGGACUUUUUGUCUAGCUGGACACAAGGCUAUUGAAAGAUGUAACAUUUCCUUGAGUUUCAAGAACACAGAAGACGACGAGGACGAUACAAGACUCAAAUACGAACUAAAAAAAAUGUUAUAGAGUACAUCAGUUCUCUUGCACUAUAUUAAUUUGUUCAUACAUGAUCAUUGUUUUCAAUAUAGUAGUGUGGUAUUGCAGCGAAAUUGUAAAAGCUCCUCGUGACGUAUUGCACCCGGACUGUUUCCACACGCGUGUCAACUUGUAUUCUUCGAAACCUGAAGUAUGCCUCAUAUAUCCUCAGGUGGGCAAAAGUAGAGUCACUAAAUAAGCUUAUUUAGUGACUCUAGGCAAAAGCAAUCCACAGACCGACCGCUGUGGCGUCGCUCAUGAUCUUCGUUGUCUCACGACGUAAACUCCCAAUUAUAUAUCCUCAUAUAUAUUCUUGAUACCUUUAACUUUUUACUGCAGAACCGGUUCCGAAGCGUUGCGGGCCUGUACAUUAGAAGAAAAAAAAGAAAAAGCAAAAAACAAAAAAGAGCUAGGAAAGUGCACAGUUUGGUGGAAGAUGCCAGAAAACUGUAAUUGCGGGAAGAGAUUACAUAAGAAAUAAUUGUUGUACACGUAUAUUUUUCCUUUUAUUAAAUCGGUUGGACGUUCGG
Molecule: long non-coding RNA, 13842 nt
Organism: Ornithodoros turicata
Lineage: Eukaryota; Metazoa; Arthropoda; Arachnida; Ixodida; Argasidae
Exons: 2
Source: RefSeq, a predicted model, not a curated record